This 254-nucleotide ribosomal RNA is filed under the name uncultured bacterium. Its description in RNAcentral is "partial 16S ribosomal RNA". It matches the Rfam family "Bacterial small subunit ribosomal RNA", at positions 524 to 776 of the family's 1533-position model. The record is from RNAcentral.
UACGUAGGUGGCGAGCGUUAUCCGGAAUUAUUGGGCGUAAAGCGCGCGCAGGCGGUUCCUUAAGUCUGAUGUGAAAGCCCACGGCUCAACCGUGGAGGGUCAUUGGAAACUGGGGAACUUGAGUGCAGAAGAGAAGAGCGGAAUUCCACGUGUAGCGGUGAAAUGCGUAGAGAUGUGGAGGAACACCAGUGGCGAAGGCGAUCACCUGGGGUUGUUCUGACGCUGAGGAGCGAAAGCUAGGGGGAGCAAACGGG